UACGGGGGGGGCAAGCGUUGUUCGGAAUUACUGGGCGUAAAGGGCUUGUAGGUGGCCAACUAAGUCCGACGUGAAAUCCCUAGGCUUAACCUAGGAACUGCGUCGGAUACUGGAUGGCUUGAAUCCGGGAGAGGGAUGCGGAAUUCCAGGUGUAGCGGUGAAGUGCGUAGAUAUCUGGAGGAACACCGGUGGCGAAGGCGGCAUCCUGGACCGGUAUUGACACUGAAAAGCGAAAGCCAGGGGAGCAAACGGG
This 253-nucleotide ribosomal RNA is filed under the name uncultured bacterium. RNAcentral's name for it is "partial 16S ribosomal RNA". It matches the Rfam family "Bacterial small subunit ribosomal RNA", at positions 524 to 776 of the family's 1533-position model. The record is from RNAcentral.